Molecule: long non-coding RNA, 14705 nt
Filed under: Ananas comosus (pineapple)
Lineage: Eukaryota; Viridiplantae; Streptophyta; Magnoliopsida; Poales; Bromeliaceae
Description: long non-coding RNA (ACOM_LNC016790)
Source: RNAcentral
AUACUGUUAGGGUGCAACUGAGUAGUCUAAUGUUGUUCCGAUUUUCGUUCUUGUGAACGUUGACAUCGAUUCAUUCCAAAUUCACACUCUCGGGGCAUAAUAGAGCAUCUCGGGGCAUAAUAGAGCAAUAUAAUAAGGUUUUACUCUUUGUUCGAUAGAAUGAGAAAAAGUACUCCUUACAAAGUUAUACUGUUAAGGCGCUACUGAAUAGUCUAAUGUUGUUCCGGUUUUGAUUCUUGUGAAAGUUGACAUCGAUUUGUUCCAAAUUUACACUCUCGGGGCAUAAUAGACCAAUAUAAUUAGGUUUACUCCUUGUUCGAUGGAAUGAGAAAAAGUACUCGUUGCAAAGUUAUACUGUUAGGGCGCAACUGAGUAGUCUAAUGUUGUUCCGAUUUUUGUUCUUCUGAACGUUGACAUCGAUUUGUUUCAANGUUAAUUAAGAGAAACCAUCUCUCUUUCUCUCUAGUAUCUCCGUUUCUCUCUCUCUCUCUUUUCUUCGAACGAGAGGUUCGGAGAGAGCCAAACCCGUGGUUUCUCUUUUCUCACGUUCAAGUGUAUAUAUAUAUAUAUAUAUAUCUCUCUCUCUCUCUCUCUCUCUCUCUCUCUCUCGUCCCGACGACACGAGAUCCCUCGUGCCUCCGGAGGCACGAGGACUCGGCAAAAGCUACUACCUCAAAGGCUUAGUUGCUAGCCGAGGCAAUUUGAACUAGAUCGCAUAAACUUCAAAGAUCUUUUAUUAAAAACACUAAAAAGCUAUAGUAAAUGGAUCGUUAGCUUUCCUAAGUUUUAGUUAUUAAAAAUUGCCAACUUUUAUUUUUAGGAUAUUUUUCACCACUAUAUCGUGAUUUUAAAAGCUAGUCUUUAUAACUAGAACAAUAUCUAUCAUAUUUCUGAGGAGAAAAUUGGAAUUGCUUGGUGGUGUAGCAAGCUUGGUGGAGAAGAAGGCUUGGAGUUGAAGCUUCAUCUUCAUCUUCUCCUUCCUUGGUCUAAGAGGAAACUUGAGAGGUUUUCUGACGCGCUGGCGAAGUCGGUUCGGCGAUACGACGAGGUUACGCGAAGAUAUUGAAGAAAAGGCCGAUUUCGGUACAGAUUGCCGCAGCUCGUGGCGUAAGCUCCCAAAAAUCACGAAACCGGAAUCGUAGCAUCGUGACAUCACCUAAAGUCUUGGAGCUAAAAAAGUCGGGGGCACGAAGGGUCGCGUGGAGCUCUCGGUGGGUUUGACCUCGCUACAAAUGAGAAAAUCUCAUUUAUGUGGAUUUAAGUAUCGUAAAAUGGAAAAUCACGCAUUUUAAUGAAAAAUGCAUUAUUUGUGAAUUUUAAAAUGCUUGAAAUGCUUAUGUUAUAUACAAUGCAUUUUCGGACCUCUAUGUAGUAGAGAGCUUGCAUGUAAGACUUAUGCAUGGGUUUAGCAUUCUAAUUGGGACUUGGAAUCAUGCUUCAUAUAGUAGACAUGACAAAUGUGUAAUAUGCCUUGGACAUAAAUCUCAUUUGGACAUAAGAGAAUACAUUAGGCCAUAAAGUGGUUUUGGACUUGAAUAACUUGUGAGUUAGGGAGCUAAUGUCGUAAUGCGACAUCGGGCUUGAGCUAUGAAUGAGCCUAGCAAAGUAAUGCCAUAGAGAGGCAUUAGGCUUGAAUGAUAUGUGAAUUGUAUAUGCAUGUUAAUAGUAUGAGAAUUAUGCUAAGUUGGUAGUUGCAUUGGAAAGUGUAUGCAUGUAGCAUUAUGAGAACUAUGCUAUGUUGAUAGUUGUAUACGGAUGCAUUGAAACCAUAUGCUAGUGGAUAGAUGCAUGUUAAUAUUUAUAUGCAUUGUGGAAUACAUGCUAGGUACAUAUUAGCAAUGUGAGAUCAUGCUAGAGAGCAUGCGAAUUAACCUAUUAUUGAUAGGGUAAGCUAAUGUCAUAAAGAGGCAUUGGGCUUGAAAUUUGUAAGGUACAGAACUUCUUAAAUUCUGAAGUUACGGUAGGAUGUAAUAGGUUUUACUCUUUGUUCGAUAGAAUGAGAAAAAGUACACGUUGCAAAGUUAUACUGUUAUGGCGCAACUGAGUAGUCUAAUGUUGUUCCGGUUUUGAUUCUUGUGAACGUUGAAAAUUCGUUCCAAAUUUACACUCUCGGGGCAUAAUAGAACUAUAUAAUUAGGUUUUACUCUUUGUUCGAUAGAAUGAGAAAAAGUACUCGUUUCAAAGUUAUACUGUUAGGGCGCAACAGAGUAGUCUAAUGUUGUUCUGGUUUUCGUUCUUGUGAACGUUGACAUCGAUUCGUUCCAAAUUUACACUCUAGGGGCAUAAUAGAACUAUAUAAUUAGGUUUUACCCUUUGUUCAAUAGAAUGAGAAAAAGUACUCGUUGCAAAGUUAUACUGUUUGGGCGCAACUGAGUAGUCUAAUUUUGUUCCUGUUUUUGUUUUUGUGAACGUUGACAUCGAUUCGUUCCAAAUUUACACUCUCGGGGCAUAAUAGAACAAUAUAAUUAGGUUUUACUCUUUGUUCGAUAGAAUGAGAAAAAGUACUUGUUGCAAAGUUAUACUGUUAAGGCGCAACUGAGUAGUCUAAUGUUGUUCCGAUUUUGGUUCUUGUGAAUGUUGACAUUGAUUCGUUCAAAAUUUACACUCUCGAGGUAUAAUAAAAUAAUAUAAUUAGGUUUUACUCUUUAUUCGAUAGAAUGAGAAAAAGUACUCGUCGCAAAGUUAUACUGUUAGGGGGCAACUGAGUAGUCUACUGUUGUUCCGAUUUUGGUUCUUGUGAACGUUGACAUCGAUUCGUUCCAAAUUUACACUCUCGAGGUAUAAUAGACCAAUAUAAUUAGGUUUUCUCUUUGUUCGAUAGAAUGAGAAAAAGUACUCGUUGCAAAGUUAUAUUGUUAGGGCGCAACUGAGUAGUCUAAUAUUGUUCCGAUUUUGGGGACCGUCCUCUGGCAAGGACCGGUUCCGAACGUUGAAUAUCCCCUUUGCCAGUUUGUGCAGCUUUACGUGGACGGCUCAAAGGGGUCGCUCGCCCGACAAAGGUGACCACCGGUUGGUCCCUCACUGCGAAAAAUACCCAGGGAGGCUGUUUCAAGAAGUGAAAAGUGAGGGUUUUAUGUUGCAUCAAGUGGGUUAUGAGAAGAGGCUAGGCUUGUCCGCCUCUCAUCGCAUCACUUACACUUCAGUGGAUGCCCUUCUUCACGUCGUGAUGUCGUAGUCCUCCAUACUCACGACCUCUGAUGUCUACUCAUCUUCUGGCUCUCUGAAAGGUUAUAACAAAAAAGCAUCAUAUCGGAGGAAAAGAGGAGAAGUAGCAGAAGGCUAGUAGAAUGAUAGAAGGAGACGAGAUAGAGACUGAAAAAGAGCGAGAAAGAGAGGUAUUGACAACUAAGACAGGAAUGAGAAGCAUAUCACGCGAGUUACACUAUUCAUCAUCUCCUCUUGCCCAAAGCUUGGAGCUUGGUAAUGAUGUAAACCUCAACCUUUGAUGUGGUUUCAAUAGGCAGAGGUAGAAGUUUUAUAAUACGAAUAAGCGCGGUUCAAGACUGAACCUUAUUGAGCUGCAUAACUGCCAGGUCGAGAUAUGUUUCGACUCGAAAUCGAAGCUCGCAGCCGGCAGAGUAGUCGUAUCUCAUCAAUGGCCGCAUGAUGCGUGCAUUGUGCUUUUCGAUAGUCUUUCGAGAAUAGGUUGGCCAGAGCAUACUUGAACUGGGCUAUUUAAUUCAAAUUAAUUUCGGCACACCUAAAUUCUAAGGUCCCGAAGUCGUAGGCACAGACGGUGUGUCGCAUUACCGUCGAGUAGCAGUCGAAGUUAUCGCCAAGAGAGACCUUCGGAGCUUCGUGUCCAUGCCUAGAAGGCUAACGGCGUCGAGACGGUUCUAAGGCACGACACAUCGCAAUCGAAGAGCUUCCACAGAAGUCCACCCACCGAGGGGUGGAGCAUCACAGUAAAACCCACCAAAAGUCCUCACCAGGGCGAGAGUGGCGCUACACGAGCUAACCAGAAGGGUGCGGGCGAUCAACAUGGUCGGACUUCACUUUCAUGCUUUAGAUGUCUGAUGUCAUCAUCGAAAGACUUAACUAGUACGAGUUUAUUACAUAUUGUGAUAUAGUCAAUUACUUGACGGAAUUGUCUUAACCAUGGAUUAUCGCUGCAUAUCCUUGCAUGCUAAGGAUGGUAUAGCUCUGCGUUUGUUCAUCAUCGUCAAGACUGAUUUAGUAAAACAUGCAGAGGUGAGCGAUCGUUUGAGAACAGACACCCAAUGAAAAGUCGCCCUAGUCAACUAACGAUAAGAAUUAUUGUUUCAGUAGAUGAUAUAUGAACCUAGUGAUACCUUGGAACACAGUUGUAUUCAAGAACUCUGUCAAGAGAACGAGUGGCCAUCUAGUUAACCUAAACAUGAACGAGUGCAUUAAGUAGCCGGUAGGCAGCGCAAAACCUAAGAAAACUGCCUGCAGCUUGUCGAGAGACUACAUCAGUAUCAGAUAGUGAUGGAUCAGCGCCACCAAUCAAGUUGCUACUACACCGAGGCUAACCUCUCGGUGCCACGAAAUUCCGCCGAGUAUAGAUAUGCCCCCUGUUGAUCAGGGCGAUAUUACGAGAUUAUCAUGACAGAGAUUGAAUCGAGCUCACUUAGCUGCUGUCUUACACCUGUAGGACAGUAAGAAUCCUCGCACCUUCCUUACGAUGCUUUAAGUCGUUACACAACUCCCGGAGUGCUUCUUCGGCGAAGAUAUCUCGCAAGAUACUGGCGGGCCAGUGUAUGCCCUGGAGCCAGUGUAGUGUCCGCUCUCGGAAGAUAGGAUCCGGUCUCCGGGUAAGUGAUAUAGCUAGCCCACUCAUCCCCUAUGCAAGCAUCUUAGACGACGUAGAGGUACACGUAUCAGAUGUCACAAUGAAAACCCGACGGCGAGCGAAACUUGCGUUCGCCGAGAGAUACGAAACUAGAUAUUCCACAGAAUAUAGCCCGAAGAUCCUGUUCAAUCAUGUCCAUGAUGCUGACUCACACUUAGCAUUGUGUUUGAUGGAAGCAUGUAGUCCCGAAAGGCAUCACCGAGACAGCCUAGCAUUCUUACUAUGAGUUGUGCGAAGACAUUCGUAGUGGCAUCCUGAAUUAUGAGGCAUUGUAGUACCUGUGGCGAAUCUAGUUUCUAUGGACCAUCAAUUCACUCUCAGCCCGGAUCUUAAGCUGAAUGGUACCGCUUUCAGUUAAUAUAAUCUAUCUAUCUGCAUAUCUAUCUGUAGCGCGGGGCUAAGACGCUAGUGGGAGGAUCCGAUGCAAUGAGAUCUUCGGAGCAGAUACACGCCAGAACCCACUGGGAAACUAUUCGUAGUUCUCACUCGCACAGAGUACUAUCGCUGCACUGAGGCUGGCUUCCAAAGAAAGGAGACCGUGUUCAAUCUGGGCAGGGGAUACCCCUGUUUCUUACACUGUGACUUUGUUGAGGCGGCUCGAAUCGCCGGAAGGCGUAAGCGCCCUACGGGUUGACAGUGGUAAUCCAGACGAAGAGGGUUUUUCACUUAUUUAAAUAUCAAAUUUUUUCUUGACUUAGCGCCUUAUUUAGAAGACAGGGCAGCACCUCUAGUCGUCUAGGGAGAUCACACCUGGCUCUAUGACCUCCUUUAUCACCCUACCUCAGCUGGCGCCUUCCCUUUACUUCAGCUCCCAGGCAAAGCAAUAUAAGAUUAGUCAUAGCCAUCGAGGAUCGAUGGUGGUUGCCAGACACAGUGAUCUCAUACUGCGGUCAGCACGAGGUCAUCCUGUUAUCUGGUAGUCUAGAGAGUUGUAGGUACGAAUUCACAGACUACAUGGUCAUAUCCAAUGAGUGGUCGCAUUCUUAAUCUUAUGUCUAAUAUACACGGCCGGGCAUUCAACAUUAUUGCCCUAGUAAAGAGAUAUCGCAGCGAAAUAGAGGCUCUAACAUGCUCGGUUAAUAAAUAUAUUAUAAGAAGUUAGCUCGGCAAAAUAGGAUCACCCAUCCUCCGCUCGCAUCGAUAGUAAUGUUGCCUAGUGAAAAACAGUCCAUUAGGUUCGAAUUUUAUUACUACUCAGAUCAGGCUAGAAAAACCCGAUCAUCGUUGUACCAAGAAGUAAAGCGGCGGUGAGUACCAUACGAGCAUAAGUGUAUGCUCAGCUGACAGGCGAGUAAGCAUCAUCCUGCUAGAGGUCGUCUCGAUCUCGAAGUGUACACAUCGAGUGUUUUGCGAGGAAAGACCAAGCUCACAUGCAAAUGAAUGCGAAAUAAAGAGUGGCGAUGCUCUUCACGUACUCGAAAAUGAGCAAUUCUAGCAUCAGAUGAAAUGUUGAAGGUAUGGACAAUACCUCGCAAGACAGUCGCCCACACCAGUGCCCUGCGUGCUGAGUCAGGGCGAAGACCUCUCUGCGCAUCUCCAGAUGCGCUGCCGUGCCCCUCAGUUUGCGCCUCCGUCCCGCGUAAUUGUGGUUGUUAAUUGUUAUGUACCCAGUUCAACGUUGUUCCUUGGAACCUUGUUGCUCACUAAUCUAUGGUUGAGCCUUGGCGACAGAGGAGGCUGUCCGUUCGGCGUCGGUCCGCCCUUCGAGUAGGGGGACCCCGGAGCCACGAAGCAGCUGCAGCUGGGGCUCCGCGGCUUCUGCGGGCGUGCAGGCAUGGGAGGAGACAGGGACUCCCCCUGAGACAUCCGCCACCUCCUAGGACACUGGCUUGCAGGGGAGCCACCUCGCACUGGCCACGAACGGAAACAGUGUCCUCCUCUGCGACCAUUCGCCAUCAACCGCUGAGCUUUGCCGGCAGAUGCACACAACGGUGGAUCGCCCCUCUGCUGAUUGCUCGAGGGCGCACUCUUUGCUCCCUGCUAGAGUGCGCGGAUGCUUUGGCGACCGGUUACUAUUGGAAAGGAGCCGCCGCACGUCUUAGAAUGGGAACGCUUUCUGUUCCCCAUCGCCUCCGAGGCCCUUUGCAGCUCGGACUCUCGUAGACUCGCUCUGGAUGACGAGGCUAUCGUCGCAAGCACUCCGUCAAAACACGUCAUCGUGCCAUGAGAAGCCCAGCAGCAUCCUGAUGUGGGUCUCGAAGCCCUCGCGAAGACUCUCGCCUUGUGCGCUCGUCAAAGUAGGCUCGAAUAGAGAGCAAGGGAUCAGCCUCCACCAUGGCGGAAGACGAAGUCCUGCUCGUAGCUUCAGCUACGGUACGUUCCCACUGCUGAAGAUGUUCUAAAGCUCCGCGCUCCGGCCCAGCCUCCAAAUUUUUGAGUUGUCCCGAAAGAAUUGCUUGGAUUGGAGAUCUCCGGAACUCCCCCCAGGGUUGGGAAAGGACGGCCCAGCUGUGAGCGAGGUAGAUGUCGGCAGCCACCAAAUAGAGCUGCGUCCGCCGGUCCGAGAAAGUGUGCGGCCAAGGACGCGGUACCUGGCUCAUCCGAUGAGUAUAAGUCGCUCUAAAGCUAGGUACUCUCACAAUGUCGGUCAGGUUCGAUGAGCAGGUCGCGUCGAUAGAAACUCCUAGUUCUCUUCCUUCUUACGCUCCACGCGUAUUCUUGCGGGUCGAAUUCCCAUGAACUCAUCCAGCUUCGCACAUGCAUAGCGGGCGCCUCUGCUGCGGGGUAAUUUGCAUCCUCAGCUGGAACCUCUGGUGGUCGUCCGUCGUCGUCGAGCUCAGCAAGCAGAUAAAGAUGGAACGGAGCCGAGGGCCGAGCUACCUAGUGCAGGCGCACCUGAGGAGGUGGUGGACUUCCUACGGAGACUCUAAGAGCAGGCAUGACCCAUUCCAGAACCGGCGGCGUCGGGGAAGGUAGUCGCUUAUAUGGGAACACAGCUCUAGGCGGUGUGCGGCUCGUAAGGACUAGCUGGCAUGAGUGCUGCGUCGGAAACCGCCGCCAUGUGGAAAGGAGUCGUCAUCCUGAAUCCCGUCCCGUCAUCACUGGAGGCUUUAGACCUCGAGUGGUGAGGCUCGAGCUGCUUCGAUAGCAGUGAGUAUCCGCCCUGCUGGAUGUGGAAUGUUUUUUUUUACUUUUCUGGUCGAUCUGCUCACCCUACUCCUGCCCUGCCCCACCUGCCUCUGCCGUUGCUCGGAGGCCUGCUCUUUUCCUAGGAGGCUAAUUGACUAAGAGCCCUCAUGGGCGACGGCGUCCAGAAAGUUUGAUGGAACUAGCUCCCACGAACUCACGGAAGAAGGUGGGUCCGCUACUCCACGAGCCAAUCUGUAACACAAAGCACGCGUCAGCACGAAUAAUCGAGACUCGACCAACUCCGCCUACGGACUUGAGGCCCACAGAAACUUGCACUCACGUGCGCUAUGAGUAUUUCGCCCGUAGUCCUGCCUAUGGGUCAACCUAACCAAUGGUUCAUUUCAUUGAUUUUUCGAAAACCAACCUGUGAAUGGUAGUCUCCCCCUGUAUUUUGAGCACGGUCGUCGUAGCACAAGUACAGAGGAGAUCUGUCCCGUCGUGAAGUGGAUUCCCUGUAAUUGUGCGAUCUGACAUACUCUGGGGUCAGGUAUUUGAGAAAAACAAAAACAAAUUAUUAGUCAUUUCGCGUCAUUUCCAAACGCGCAACAAGGACCUCAGGGGUGACAGAUUAAAGUGGUAUCAGAGCCGGUUCAUCAGCUGGACAUGUGUGGCGAGUCUCGCUAUGAGCCACGGGUCGGAUGACGGGCUAACGAGCGACGUCUUACAUCGCGCUGGUGAUCUUGGGCUGUGUGUGUUGUGGACUCGACAGACGUCAGGACUGCAGCUUAAACGGGGAGUCCUGGUGACACCGCCAUAUCAACAUCGAUGAAAUGGAAGGUGUUGUUUAUUCAGGAGUUGAUAAGCACGACUUAGACACUAGCUAAAUAAUAACUGGCUUAGAGCAUUUGGGGUCUGUGUUGGUAUCAUGGGCCAACGAGUUACUCUUAAUUAAGCUUAGUGAAGCUUGGGCCUGGUCGUUACAUUGGUAAUCAGUCAAGUCGAAUUCUUUCAGCUCAUCGAAGCUACUGCUAGACACCGUCGAUUUGUUCAUGAAGUUAUUGUCGUUUCGAACUGCGAAUGAUGACCUGUCGUUCGGAUUCAGUAAUACCGAUUUUGCUGGGAGUCCACCGGGUUAUACCCAAAGCUCUCCGAGCUUUGCCUCAAUGUAAAGCUUGUGAAGCGGUGUGCGAUUUUGGAGAAGGCUGCAACGAAUCGCAAGAUAAUACCUGCACUGCGCCAAACCCUAGAAAAACUCCGGACUUGGUCACCGAAAGUUUUGGUUCAAGACCAGCUACACCACGCGAGGCUAUCUUCUUCGGGUCCGACCGAAUCCACGCCGGAGUAGAAUAUGCCGUCUCUCAAGAAUGACCACGUAGCGACGUCACGGAGCAGAAAUCCACUUCUUGAGCUUAGCGUUACAACUGUGCCGCCGCUGAAGUAUCUGGCAAUUAGCUCUGUCGCGAGAUGAUCCUCAGGUGCUCCCUACAAUACUCCGCGAGUAGAUCAGGAGUCAUCAUGAAACCGACGACAGACACUGAUCCAGAUAAGCUCGGAAGCCCUGUCAUUCAUGUCGCAUAGAAGGCUGCGCGGAGGAUUGGUGAGCCCGAAAGGCACACCGUGAACUCGUAGUGGCCGUAACGAGUCCGGAAAGGCGGUCUUUCGGCACAUCCUCAGCCCGGAUCUUUAAGCUGAUGUAGCCUCCCGACCGCAAGAUCAUCCUUGGAGUUAGCACCGACGAUCCUUUGACAAGGCUGGUCAUGGUACGAAGCCUGAACUUUCCAGUACGCGCUUUCUCAUCUUUAGAGUGACGGUCAGGUCCAGAGCGACGUGCAUCCAGACUUCUUGUACGACAUGCUCUGGCGCAGAUCGCGUCUGGAUUACGGUGGAUCGGAUGGUCUCGGUAUUACCGUUGGUGGAGUUUCGCGACUAUAAUAAACAGCUUUCAGGGUCGACAUCGGGAUGGCACCAUACCGAGGCGUCUGUUAUGGGCGUUCGAUGUCGUUCUCAGCUAUCUGCUUGGCACGCAUGUCGAAGACCGCCGGUUAGUUAGGACUACUAGAUUUAGUAGGAGACGCCACAUGAGGCAAGAUCCGCAUUGGGCGAGAGAGCGGCUUCAGACCUGCAACAGAUAGAAUCCAAGGGGCGACUAGCGCGGCCCAGGCGGAGGCCGGAACCUAGAGUUUCAGUCGUGAGUCAUGUGCUGCUCAAGUGUCGCCUUCCAGGAUCAAUACGGUUUGUUUGCGGAACAAGCUUAUCGCGCUGGUUUCGGUGGGACCCGUUCUGAGAUCCUACGAGCUGCGUUGGUCCGGUGGGCUUACCAGAUUGCUCUCAUACCGCAGUCUCGCCCGAGUGCAGCAACGUUUUUUCACGUGUCCCAUGCUUCGGAUACCACAUCCCGAUCCGUCCCCACAUCAUUCAGUCGACACGCAUUCAGCUAUGCGGGAGGAUCUCGAGCUAUGCAGUGAGGCUCCCGUUGCACGAUCCUGGUCACGUGAGGUGAACGCAGUUGCCGGAAUAGGAGCAUAUCCGUAUUCAAGGUCCAGUGGAGGAGAAGCGCGACGAGAGGGCUGCGCCUGAGGCUACUGGGAGCUUGAAUGCGUCAUGGCGGUCGAUCAUUAUCCACAGUUAUUUUGCGAGGGACGUCCUUGUNNNNNNNNNNNNNNNNNNNNNNNNNACUAAUUAUAUAGUUCUAUUAUGCCGCCGGCGCAAUUGUUAUAUAUUUGGAACGAUCUUAAAUUUACAAGAACCAAAUCGGAACAACAAUUAGACUACUAAGUUGCGCACCUAACAUAUUAACUUUUGCAACGAGCACUUAUUUCUCAUUCUACAAACAAAGAGUAAAACCAUUAUAUUGCUUAUUAUGCCUCGAGACAGUGUAAAUUUGGAACGAAUCAGAAACUUGUCAACGUUCACAAGACAACAAACAUGGACGAAAAUUAGCACUACUCAGUUUGCGCGCAACAGUAUAACUUUUGAACGAGUAUUUUUCUUCAUUGAUCAAUAGAACAAAGAGUUAAAACCUAAGUAUAUUAUUUUUUAUACCUCCAUUCGUGCUAAAUCGUAGAACGAGGUCAAUGUCAACGUUCACAAGACCAAAAUCGGAACACAUAGACUACUCAGUUGGCACCAACAGAUAUGAACUUAUGCACACGAAUACUUUUUUCUAAUUCUAUCAACAAAGAAGUAAACCCCAUAUUAUAUUGUAUCUUAUGCCCCAGAGUGUAAAUUUGGAACGUAACCAGAUGGCAAGGUUCACGUAAGAACAAAAAACAGGAACAAAAUUAGAUACUAGUUGCGGCCAAAAAGUCUAACUUUGCAACGAGUAUUUUUUCUCAUUUCUAUUAUCAGAAAGAGGUAAAACCUAAUUAUAUAGUUCUAAUUUGCCUGGAGUGUAAACUUGGAACGAAUCAGAUUCGUCAACGUGAUUAAGAAGAAAAACCAGAAAACACAUUACACUACUCUGGUUUGCAGCACUAACAGUAUAACUGCGACGUAGUACUUUUGUCUCUUUCUAUCGAACAAAAAGUGAAACCUAAUUAUCAUUCUAUUAUGCCCGGGCGAGUGUAAAUUGUGGAAGAUCUUCAACGUUCACAAAAGAACCAAAUCGGAACAACAUGAGCACUACUCAUUGCGACCUAACGUUAUAACUUUGCAACGAGUACUUUUCUGAUUUCUAUCAACAAAGAGAUAAAACCUUUAAUUAUAUCGAUAUCUAUAGUCUCGAGAGUGUAAAUUGGACGAUAUCAGAGUCAAGUUCAGAAAGAAUCAAAGAUUCGGCGAAGAACAUUAGAUACUCAGUUUUGGCCCUAACAGUUAUACUUAAUGCAACGAUCUUUUUCUACGUUCUAUCAAACAAAGAGUAAAAUACUAAUUAUAUUAUUUAUUAUACGCUCGAGAGUGUGAAUUUGGACGAAGGUCAUAUCAACGUUCACAAGAACCAGCCGGGAGACCGGUCCUUGUCCGAGAGACCGGUUCCCGAGAGCAAUACUUUCGGGACUUAGCCAAAUUUCGGCUUCUCUCGCUGGGCCAACGUUCGGGAACCGGUCCCUGCCUGCUAGGGACAGGUCUCAUCAGAGACCCCCGCAGCCCAGCCUGAUGGGACCGGUCCCUCCCUGCCAGGGACCGGUCCCCGAGAGCAUUUCUUCUCCAGUGCAGCUUUUGCACGGGUGCUCUCGCGGACACCUCCUCAAUGCACCUUAUGCAUUGUGAUCACCUUCGGACUUUCCGAAGCUUGCACGCACGACAACCAGUCGAUCUUUGACGAAGUCUAAUCCUCGAGUUUCGAGAAUUCACUUCCCUUACACUCUCCCCACUUAAAAGAGUUUCGUCCUCGAAACGAACUCAACAAUAUUAAAUUCAUCCAGAAUACUCAUACCUCGGUGGCUCACUCAAACAAGUGAGGAUGAUUCGCUCUCAUCUCCUCCUCGAGCUCCCAGGUGGCUUCGCGGUCAGCAUGAUUGCUCCACUCUCAGGGCAUAAUAGAAUAAUAUAAUUAGGUUUUACUCUUUGUUCGAUAGAAUGAGAAAAAGUACUCGUUGCAAAGUUAUACUGUUUGGGCGCAACAGAGUAGUCUAUUGUUGUUCCGGUUUUCGUUAUUGUGAACGUCGACAUCGAUUCGUUCCAAAUUUACACUCUCGGAGUAUAAUAGAACUAUAUAAUUUGGUUUUACUCUUUAUUCAAUAGAAUGAGAAAAAGUACUCGUUGCAAAGUUAUACUGUUUGGGCGCAACUCAGUGGUCUAAUUUUGUUCCGGUUUUUGUUCUUGUGAACGUUGACAUCGAUUCGUUCCAAAUUUAUACUCUCGGGGCAUAAUAGCACAAUAUAAUUAGGUUUUACUCUUUGUUCGAUAGAAUGAGAAAAAGUACUCGUUGCAAAGUUAUACUGUUAGGGUGCUACUGAAUAGUUGAAUGUUGUUCCAAUUUUGAUUCAUGUGAACGUUGACAUCGAUUCGUUCCAAAUUUACACUCUCGGGGCAUAAUAAAAUAAUAUAAUUAGGGUUUACUCUUUGCCCGAUAGAAUGAGAAAAAGUACUCGUUGCAAAGUUAUACUGUUAGUGUGCAACUGAGUAGUCUAAUAUUGUUCCGGUUUUUGUUCUUCAGAUCGUUGACAACGAUUCGUUCCAAAUUUACACUCUCAGGGCAUAAUAGAACAAUAUAAUUAGGUUUUACUCUUUGUUCGAUAGAAUGAGAAAAAGUACUCGUUGCAAAGUUAAACUGUUUUGGGCGCAACUGAGUAGUCUAAUUGUUCCGUUUUUGUUCUUGUGAACUUGACAUCGAUUCGUUCCAAAUUUACACUCUCGGGGCAUAAUAGAGAAUAUAAUUAUGUUUUACUCUUUGUUCGAUAGAAAUGAGAAAAAGUACUCGUUGCAAGUUAUACUGUUAGGCGCAACCUGAGUUGUCUAAUGUUGUUCCGGUUCUUGGUUCUUGUGAUACGUUGAAAUCGAUUCGUCAAAUUUAUUACACUCUUCGGGGGGCAUAAUAGAAGCUAUAUAAAUUAUGGUUUUAAGCUCUUAAUUCGAUUUUUAGAAAAGAGAAAAAAGUACUACGUUGCAAAGUUAUAGCCUGUUAGCACGCCAACAGAGUAGUCUUAAUUUGUUCCGGUUCACAAAGAACGAAAACCGGAAACGAACAUUAGACUAUCGGUUUUCGUUCUGUGAACGUUGACAUCGAUCGUUCCAAAAUUUACACGCCUUUGGGGCCAUUAAAUAGAACAUGAUAAUAUGUUUUAUCCUUUGUUUCGAUGCGUAGAAUGAGAAAACGUACUCUGUUUCACAAAGUUAUAGCUGUUUGGGGCCGCCCCCCCAACUGAGUAGUACUAAUUUUGGUUACCCGGAUUUUGUUCUUAUAGUGAACUGUUGACAUAACGAUUCGUUUCCGUCCUUAUAACUAUUGAAUUUAAGAGGAUUUAGACUCCCUUUUCGCUCAUGAGGGACCAANNNNNNNNNNNNNNNNNNNNNNNNNNNNNNNNNNNNNNNNNNNNNNNNNNNNNNNNNNNNNNNNNNNNNNNNNNNNNNNNNNNNNNNNNNNNNNNNNNNNNNNNNNNNNNNNNNNNNNNNNNNNNNNNNNNNNNNNNNNNNNNNNNNNNNNNNNNNNNNNNNNNNNNNNNNNNNNNNNNNNNNNNNNNNNNNNNNNNNNNNNNNNNNNNNNNNNNNNNNNNNNNNNNNNNNNNNNNNNNNNNNNNNNNNNNNNNNNNNNNNNNNNNNNNNNNNNNNNNNNNNNAAAUUUACACUCUCGGGGCAUAAUAAAAUAAUAUAAUUAGGUUUUACUCUUUGUUCGGUAGAAUGAGAAAACGUACUCGUUGCAAAGUUAUACUGUUAGGGCGCAACUGAUUAGUCUAAUGUUGUUCCGUUUUUCGUUCUUAUGAACGUUGACAUCGAUUCGUUCCAAAUUUACACACUCGGGGCAUAAUAGAGCAAUAUAAUUAGGUUUUACUCUUCGUUCGAUAGAUUCAGAAAAAGUACUCGUUGCAAAGUUAUACUGUUAGGGCGCAACUGAGUAGUCUAAUGUUGUUCCGGUUUUUGUUCUUCUGAACGUUGACAUCGAUUUGUUCCAAAUUUACACUCUCGAGGCAUAAUAGAACAAUAUAAUUAGGUUUUACUCUUUGUUCGAUAGAAUAAGAAAAAGUACUCGUUGCAACCUUAUACUGUUUGGGCGCAACUGAGUAGUCUAAUUGUCACGCCCCGCGACCAACCGCCGAUUUGGACCGGGUCGCGGCGCCGCCGACAGACCGCCGAACGGACCGGGAAUUCCCCUGUAUGCGGACAGGGUCUCCCCAGUACGUCCAAGGCGUCGCAAUCCAAACAAUCAACGAAUAUUCCAACAAGA